GGGUUGUGAGGUUAAGCGACUAAGCGUACACGGUGGAUGCCCUGGCAGUCAGAGGCGAUGAAGGACGUGCUAAUCUGCGAUAAGCGUCGGURAGGUGAUAUGAACCGUUAUAACCGGCGAUUUCCGAAUGGGGAAACCCAGUGUGUUUCGACACACUAUCAUUAACUGAAUCCAUAGGUUAAUGAGGCGAACCGGGGGAACUGAAACAUCUAAGUACCCCGAGGAAAAGAAAUCAACCGAGAUUCCCCCAGUAGCGGCGAGCGAACGGGGAGGAGCCCAGAGCCUGAAUCAGUGUGUGUGUUAGUGGAAGCGUCUGGAAAGGCGCGCGAUACAGGGUGACAGCCCCGUACACAAAAAUGCACAURYUGUGAGCUCGAUGAGUAGGGCGGGACACGUGGUAUCCUGUCUGAAUAUGGGGGGACCAUCCUCCAAGGCUAAAUACUCCUGACUGACCGAUAGUGAACCAGUACCGUGAGGGAAAGGCGAAAAGAACCCCGGCGAGGGGAGUGAAAAAGAACCUGAAACCGUGUACGUACAAGCAGUGGGAGCCUCUUAAUGGGGUGACUGCGUACCUUUUGUAUAAUGGGUCAGCGACUUAUAUUCUGUAGCAAGGUUAACCGAAUAGGGGAGCCGAAGGGAAACCGAGUCUUAACUGGGCGUUAAGUUGCAGGGUAUAGACCCGAAACCCGGUGAUCUAGCCAUGGGCAGGUUGAAGGUUGGGUAACACUAACUGGAGGACCGAACCGACUAAUGUUGAAAAAUUAGCGGAUGACUUGUGGCUGGGGGUGAAAGGCCAAUCAAACCGGGAGAUAGCUGGUUCUCCCCGAAAGCUAUUUAGGUAGCGCCUCGUGAAUUCAUCUCCGGGGGUAGAGCACUGUUUCGGCAAGGGGGUCAUCCCGACUUACCAACCCGAUGCAAACUGCGAAUACCGGAGAAUGUUAUCACGGGAGACACACGGCGGGUGCUAACGUCCGUCGUGAAGAGGGAAACAACCCAGACCGCCAGCUAAGGUCCCAAAGUCAUGGUUAAGUGGGAAACGAUGUGGGAAGGCCCAGACAGCCAGGAUGUUGGCUUAGAAGCAGCCAUCAUUUAAAGAAAGCGUAAUAGCUCACUGGUCGAGUCGGCCUGCGCGGAAGAUGUAACGGGGCUAAACCAUGCACCGAAGCUGCGGCAGCGACACUAUGUGUUGUUGGGUAGGGGAGCGUUCUGUAAGCCUGUGAAGGURGCCUGUGAGGGUUGCUGGAGGUAUCAGAAGUGCGAAUGCUGACAUAAGUAACGAUAAAGCGGGUGAAAAGCCCGCUCGCCGGAAGACCAAGGGUUCCUGUCCAACGUUAAUCGGGGCAGGGUGAGUCGAYCCCUAAGGCGAGGCCGAAAGGCGUAGUCGAUGGGAAACAGGUUAAUAUUCCUGUACUUGGUGUUACUGCGAAGGGGGGACGGAGAAGGCUAUGUUGGCCGGGCGACGGUUGUCCCGGUUUAAGCGUGUAGGCUGGUUUUCCAGGCAAAUCCGGAAAAYCAAGGCUGAGGCGUGAUGACGAGGCACUACGGUGCUGAAGYGACAAAUGCCCUGCUUCCAGGAAAAGCCUCUAAGCAUCAGGUAACAUCAAAUCGUACCCCAAACCGACACAGGUGGUCAGGUAGAGAAUACCAAGGCGCUUGAGAGAACUCGGGUGAAGGAACUAGGCAAAAUGGUGCCGUAACUUCGGGAGAAGGCACGCUGAUAUGUAGGUGAAGCGACUUGCUCGUGGAGCUGAAAUCAGUCGAAGAUACCAGCUGGCUGCAACUGUUUAUUAAAAACACAGCACUGUGCAAACACGAAAGUGGACGUAUACGGUGUGACGCCUGCCCGGUGCCGGAAGGUUAAUUGAUGGGGUUAGCGGUAACGCGAAGCUCUUGAUCGAAGCCCCGGUAAACGGCGGCCGUAACUAUAACGGUCCUAAGGUAGCGAAAUUCCUUGUCGGGUAAGUUCCGACCUGCACGAAUGGCGUAAUGAUGGCCAGGCUGUCUCCACCCGAGACUCAGUGAAAUUGAACUCGCUGUGAAGAUGCAGUGUACCCGCGGCAAGACGGAAAGACCCCGUGAACCUUUACUAUAGCUUGACACUGAACAUUGAGCCUUGAUGUGUAGGAUAGGUGGGAGGCUUUGAAGUGUGGACGCCAGUCUGCAUGGAGCCGACCUUGAAAUACCACCCUUUAAUGUUUGAUGUUCUAACGUUGGCCCSUAAUCSGGGUUGCGGACAGUGUCUGGUGGGUAGUUUGACUGGGGCGGUCUCCUCCUAAAGAGUAACGGAGGAGCACGAAGGUUGGCUAAUCCUGGUCGGACAUCAGGAGGUUAGUGCAAUGGCAUAAGCCAGCUUGACUGCGAGCGUGACGGCGCGAGCAGGUGCGAAAGCAGGUCAUAGUGAUCCGGUGGUUCUGAAUGGAAGGGCCAUCGCUCAACGGAUAAAAGGUACUCCGGGGAUAACAGGCUGAUACCGCCCAAGAGUUCAUAUCGACGGCGGUGUUUGGCACCUCGAUGUCGGCUCAUCACAUCCUGGGGCUGAAGUAGGUCCCAAGGGUAUGGCUGUUCGCCAUUUAAAGUGGUACGCGAGCUGGGUUUAGAACGUCGUGAGACAGUUCGGUCCCUAUCUGCCGUGGGCGCUGGAGAACUGAGGGGGGCUGCUCCUAGUACGAGAGGACCGGAGUGGACGCAUCACUGGUGUUCGGGUUGUCAUGCCAAUGGCACUGCCCGGUAGCUAAAUGCGGAAGAGAUAAGUGCUGAAAGCAUCUAAGCACGAAACUUGCCCCGAGAUGAGUUCUCCCUGACUCCUUGAGAGUCCUGAAGGAACGUUGAAGACGACGACGUUGAUAGGCCGGGUGUGUAAGCGCAGCGAUGCGUUGAGCUAACCGGUACUAAUGAACCGUGAGGCUUAACCUUACAACGCCGAAG
RNAcentral lists this ribosomal RNA (2925 nucleotides) under Escherichia coli. RNAcentral describes it as "23S ribosomal RNA". It matches the Rfam family "Bacterial large subunit ribosomal RNA". Lineage: Bacteria; Pseudomonadati; Pseudomonadota; Gammaproteobacteria; Enterobacterales; Enterobacteriaceae. The record is from RNAcentral.